GCCGCUGUGGUGAAAUUGGUAGACACGCAUGACUCAAAAUCAUGUGGGGGCGACUCCAUGUCGGUUCGAGUCCGACCAGCGGCAC
This 85-nucleotide transfer RNA is filed under the name Parcubacteria group bacterium ADurb.Bin316. RNAcentral describes it as "tRNA-Leu". It matches the Rfam family "tRNA". Rfam says of the family: Transfer RNA (tRNA) molecules are approximately 80 nucleotides in length. Their secondary structure includes four short double-helical elements and three loops (D, anti-codon, and T loops). Further hydrogen bonds mediate the characteristic L-shaped molecular structure. tRNAs have two regions of fundamental functional importance: the anti-codon, which is responsible for specific mRNA codon recognition, and the 3' end, to which the tRNAs corresponding amino acid is attached (by aminoacyl-tRNA synthetases). tRNAs cope with the degeneracy of the genetic code in two manners: having more than one tRNA (with a specific anti-codon) for a particular amino acid; and 'wobble' base-pairing, i.e. permitting non-standard base-pairing at the 3rd anti-codon position. The record is from RNAcentral.